This 301-nucleotide ribosomal RNA is filed under the name uncultured bacterium. RNAcentral's name for it is "partial 16S ribosomal RNA". It matches the Rfam family "Bacterial small subunit ribosomal RNA", at positions 509 to 809 of the family's 1533-position model. The record is from RNAcentral.
CAGUCGCCGCGGUAAAACCGAGGGUGCAAGCGUUAAUCGGAAUUACAGGGCGUAAAGCGCGCGUAGGUGGUUUGUUAAGUUGGAUGUGAAAUCCCCGGGCUCAACCUGGGAACUGCAUCCAAAACUGGCAAGCUAGAGUAUGGUAGAGGGUGGUGGAAUUUCCUGUGUAGCGGUGAAAUGCGUAGAUAUAGGAAGGAACACCAGUGGCGAAGGCGACCACCUGGACUGAUACUGACACUGAGGUGCGAAAGCGUGGGGAGCAAACAGGAUUAGAUACCCGGGUAGUCCCUGUCUCUUAUAA